This 354-nucleotide transfer-messenger RNA is filed under the name Candidatus Wallbacteria bacterium GWC2_49_35. It matches the Rfam family "transfer-messenger RNA". From Rfam's summary of the family: Bacterial tmRNA, also known as 10Sa RNA or SsrA, is named for its dual tRNA and mRNA-like properties. Its role is to liberate the mRNA from a stalled ribosome. To accomplish this part of the tmRNA is used as a reading frame that ends in a translation stop signal. Lineage: Bacteria; Candidatus Walliibacteriota. The record is from RNAcentral. RNAcentral also lists the same sequence under 2 other names.
GGGGACGACAUGGUUUCGACGGGGAUUUAGAUCAUUGUUGGGCGUGGCGGAGAGUCUGUCUCCUUAAUCAGGCAAACAAUAGUCGCAGAACACGACGAAUACUUACUCGCUGCUUAAUUAAAUAGCAGCGGCGCCUGUGCCGGCGGCGUCCGGGGUGGCGGCACAGGUGACUCACAAAUCCGGGCAUCGGCUGUGGUUUGGAUACCAUACCUCUUCCGAUUAUCAUAAGGUAUCUUUGGUAAGAUUGGCCGGCCGGUGAGCCUGUCUUAUCUGAAAUCAAUCACUGGCUAGGUUACGUAGAACAACCUUGUGACAGAUCUUCGGACGCGGGUUCGAUUCCCGCCGUCUCCAUAC